GUGCCAGCAGCCGCGGUAAUACGUAGGGUGCAAGCGUUAAUCGGAAUUACUGGGCGUAAAGCGUGCGCAGGCGGUUGUGUAAGUCAGAUGUGAAAUCCCCGGGCUCAACCUGGGAAUUGCAUUUGAGACUGCACGGCUAGAGUGUGUCAGAGGGGGGUAGAAUUCCACGUGUAGCAGUGAAAUGCGUAGAUAUGUGGAGGAAUACCGAUGGCGAAGGCAGCCCCCUGGGAUAACACUGACGCUCAUGCACGAAAGCGUGGGUAGCAAACAGGAUUAGAUACCCUGGUAGUCCACGCCGUAA
RNAcentral lists this ribosomal RNA (301 nucleotides) under uncultured bacterium. RNAcentral's name for it is "bacterial SSU rRNA". It matches the Rfam family "Bacterial small subunit ribosomal RNA", at positions 505 to 805 of the family's 1533-position model. The record is from RNAcentral.